This 72-nucleotide transfer RNA is filed under the name Salmo salar (Atlantic salmon). It matches the Rfam family "tRNA". Rfam says of the family: Transfer RNA (tRNA) molecules are approximately 80 nucleotides in length. Their secondary structure includes four short double-helical elements and three loops (D, anti-codon, and T loops). The record is from Rfam by way of RNAcentral. Lineage: Eukaryota; Metazoa; Chordata; Actinopteri; Salmoniformes; Salmonidae.
UCCCUGGUGGUCUAUUGGUUAGGAUUUGGCGCUCUCACCGCAGUGGCCCGGGUUCGUUUCCCGGUCAGGGAA